CCUACGGGUGGCAGCAGUGAGGAAUAUUGGUCAAUGGACGAGAGUCUGAACCAGCCAAGUAGCGUGAAGGAUGACUGCCCUAUGGGUUGUAAACUUCUUUUAUAUGGGAAUAAAAUGUUCCACGUGUGGGAUUUUGUAUGUACCAUAUGAAUAAGGAUCGGCUAACUCCGUGCCAGCAGCCGCGGUAAUACGGAGGAUCCGAGCGUUAUCCGGAUUUAUUGGGUUUAAAGGGAGCGUAGGUGGAUUGUUAAGUCAGUUGUGAAAGUUUGCGGCUCAACCGUAAAAUUGCAGUUGAUACUGGCAGUCUUGAGUACAGUAGAGGUGGGCGGAAUGCGUGGUGUAGCGGUGAAAUGCUUAGAUAUCACGAAGAACUCCGAUUGCGAAGGCAGUUCACUGGACUGCAACUGACACUGAGGCUCGAAAGUGUGGGUAUCAAACAGGAUUAGAUACCCUUGUAGUC
This 460-nucleotide ribosomal RNA is filed under the name uncultured bacterium. Its description in RNAcentral is "partial 16S ribosomal RNA". It matches the Rfam family "Bacterial small subunit ribosomal RNA", at positions 338 to 795 of the family's 1533-position model. The record is from RNAcentral.